RNAcentral lists this ribosomal RNA (395 nucleotides) under uncultured bacterium. RNAcentral's name for it is "partial 16S ribosomal RNA". It matches the Rfam family "Bacterial small subunit ribosomal RNA", at positions 523 to 918 of the family's 1533-position model. The record is from RNAcentral.
CUAUGUAGGGUGCAAGCGUUAAUCGGAAUUACUGGGCGUAAAGCGUGCGCAGGCGGUUUUGUAAGACAGUGGUGAAAUCCCCGGGCUCAACCUGGGAACUGCCAUUGUGACUGCAAGGCUGGAGUGCGGCAGAGGGGGAUGGAAUUCCGCGUGUAGCAGUGAAAUGCGUAGAUAUGCGGAGGAACACCGAUGGCGAAGGCAAUCCCCUUGGCCUGCACUGACGCUCAUGCACGAAAGCGUGGGGAGCAAACAGGAUUAGAUACCCUGGUAGUCCACGCCCUAAACGAUGUCAACUGGUUGUUGGGGAUUUAUUUUCUCAGUAACGUAGCUAACGCGUGAAGUUGACCGCCUGGGGAGUACGGCCGCAAGGUUAAAACUCAAAUGAAUUGGCGGGG